AAAUAUAAAUUGUGGGUAUUGGCUGCAAUUUUAUUGCUAGCUUUUUGGUCUAUGUUUACUGGCUCUCUCACUCUCAGUCUCAAUUGGUCUGCUGCUAAUCUCAGCCGUCUAUCUGAUGCUUCUGAUUUCUCGAUCCAUGAUGAUCUUGAUAUUCUGGUACUUUUUCUUCUCUCCCUUUUCCUUUUUCUUUGAUGGGUCAUUUACUAUAAAGUAAAAAUCCUAAGUUACUAAGAAUAAAGAUUUGAUCUUUUCUUGAUGUAGUUGUAGUAGUUAACCCCUUUAUGAGCUGUUGAGGGUGUAUUAAAAAUAACAUCUCUAACUUUGCUAGAUAGGGUAAGGUCUGCAUACACUAUCCUCCCGACCCCAUUUGUAAUAAUAUGCUGAAUUUGUUAUUGUUGUUAUUGUGGUAUAGUUAACAGAUUCAACUAGUUUGGUAUUGAAAUAUAGUUGAUUGGUUAAUGAUCUUGAUAUUCUGGUACUUUUUCUACUCUCCUUUUUCCUUUUUCUUUGAUGGGUCAUUUACUAUAAAGUAAAAAUCCUAAGUUACUAAGAAUAAAGAUUUGAUCUUUUCUUGAUGUAGUUGUAGUAGUUAACCCCUUUAUGAGCUGUUGAGGGUGUAUUAAAAAUAACAUCUCUAACUUUGCUAGAUAGGGUAAGGUCUGCAUACACUAUCCUCCCGACCCCAUUUGUAAUAAUAUGCUGAAUUUGUUAUUGUUGUUAUUGUGGUAUAGUUAACAGAUUCAACUAGUUUGGUAUUGAAAUAUAGUUGAUUGGUUAUGGUAGGGCUACAUUUCAGGUCAAUUCACCUUAAAUAUCCUGCCCGAGCCGAGGGUCUCUCGGCAACCACUUUUCUAUCUACCCAAAGUAGAGGUAAAAUCUGCGUACACUCCACCCUUUCUAGACCCCACGUGCGGGAAUAUACUGGAUUUGUUGUUGUUACGUAGUCGCUACUUGUUGCUCUUUCUUCUUUCAUUCUUUCUUUAGCCGAGGGUCUGUCAGAAAUAACCUUUUUGGUCUCUAGGGUAGGGGUAAGGAUGCGUACAUCCUUACCUUUCCAAGACCCCAUCCGUGGGAAUCCACUGGAUUUGUUGUUGUUGUUCUUGUUGUCACCUUAAAGUCCUGCACUUUUUAGCUUUUCCUCUUUUUUAAACUUCUUUUUCUACUUUAGAUGGUGGAUUUGCUUUUCUGGGGUGUUUGAUCUCUUGAUUUUUCACCAUUUUAAUUGUUAAAAUGCUAAGUUGAAUUGAUUUUUCUUUGAUGGGUCAUUUACUAUUAAGGCAGAUCAUAAGUAACUAGAAAAAAGAAAUGAUUUUUUGCUAGAUGCAACAGUAGUAGUGUAGUACAGUAAGCUGGCUAGCUAGGUUUAGUUUGGGACUGAGAUGUAGUUGAUUAGUUGAUUGGUUGGAUUAGCCGAUUAGGAGUGCAUAUCAGGUAAAUUUACCUAAAACUUUUUUUGUUUUGCUAUACCUUUUUCUACUCUUCUUUGUCUACUUUAUAUGUUAGAUUGAGCUAAUUUUUCCUUGACCUUGAAGGGUCACUUACUAUAAGGCAAAUUUUAAGUAACUAAGACAAAAUGAAUUGGAUUUUGCUAGAUAUAUUAGUAGU
Molecule: long non-coding RNA, 1605 nt
Filed under: Nicotiana benthamiana
Lineage: Eukaryota; Viridiplantae; Streptophyta; Magnoliopsida; Solanales; Solanaceae
Description: long non-coding RNA (NBEN_LNC038877)
Source: RNAcentral